Small nuclear RNA from Alexandromys fortis (reed vole), 107 nucleotides. Lineage: Eukaryota; Metazoa; Chordata; Mammalia; Rodentia; Cricetidae. The record is from RefSeq and is a predicted model, not a curated record.
GUGCUCACUUCGGCAGCACAUAUACUAAAAUUAGAGUGAUACAGAGAAUAUUAGCAUGGUCCCUGUGCAAGGAUGACACAUAAAUUUGUAAAGUGGUCCAUAUUUUU